GAUGAACGCUGGCGGCGUGCUUAACACAUGCAAGUCGAACGGAAAGGCGCGGCUCUUGCGGGGUGCUCGUGUGGCGAGGGGGUGUGUUACACGUGAGUAACCCGCCUUUGACUUUGUGAUAACUCCAGGAAACGGGGGCUAAUACCUGAUAGGAGAUCGUGCAGCAUGGGGGGGGUUGGACAGUUUCGGCUGUAGGGGAUGGACUGGCGGCUUACCAGCUUGUUGGGGGGGUAGUGGCUUACCAAGUCUUAGACGGGUAGCCGGCCUGAGCGGGUGGCCAGCCACAUGGGGACUGAGAGACGGCGCAGACUGCAAUGGGAGGCAGCAGUCGAGAGUAUGGCACAGUAGGCGGGAGCGUGAGACAACAGCGCUGCGUGCGGGAUGACGGCCUUCGGGUUGUGAACCGCUUUGUCCUGAGACGAAGCGUGAGUGACGGUAAUGGGUAAAGAAGCACCGGCUAACUACGUG
This 468-nucleotide ribosomal RNA is filed under the name uncultured bacterium. RNAcentral describes it as "partial 16S ribosomal RNA". It matches the Rfam family "Bacterial small subunit ribosomal RNA", at positions 28 to 507 of the family's 1533-position model. The record is from RNAcentral.